This is an RNA transcript of Physcomitrium patens, 1907 nucleotides long. It is a transcript of the gene named magnesium transporter MRS2-I, with no coding region annotated. The record is from RefSeq and is a predicted model, not a curated record. Lineage: Eukaryota; Viridiplantae; Streptophyta; Bryopsida; Funariales; Funariaceae.
GAGAAGAAGGGGGAGUGGCGUUGGAAUCUAAGGGAAACCAACUUCGCAGUCGCCAUUGCGGGCUCGAUGAGGCGAAUUCGCUGCUGGGAUCAUCGAUCGGCCUCCACGACGGUUGCAUGUUCAAGCGCUCCCUGCAACUCUGGCGUCUGCACGGCGCUUCUGGGUCCUCUUGGGCUCGGCAGGGUUAGGUUUCUGGGUGCGUGAUGGGAGCUUUUGCAUGAGAGCAUGGAGCCUGCGUCGCUGAGGACUUGAGGGUGCGUAAAGAUGUAGAAGAUUGCAGGUUUUCUAAUGUAGACAUUCUCAUAGCCGCAUUUGUACGGGUAGCAGUAAUGGCUGGCCUAAACCAAGAUGUGGCAGUUCUGGCCAAGAAGAAGCAAGCGUCAAAGACAUGGAUGGUUCUGGACAAUGAAGGGGAAAAAAGGGUGUUAGAAGUUGAUAAGUACGCAAUUAUGCAUCGUGUUGGCAUUCAUGCUCGCGAUCUUCGGAUUCUGGAUCCACUUUUAUCGUAUCCAUCCACGAUUCUGGGGCGUGAGCGGGCCAUCGUGCUCAAUCUUGAGCACAUCAAGGCGAUCAUUACCGCAGACGAGGUGUUUCUGCGUAAUCCAGCGGACGAAUUUGUGAUACCAUUCGUAGAAGAGCUCUGCAGACGAUUACCCACCAAAGGAUCUGAUAGUCUGGGUCACGAGGGGUCUGAAGGUGAAGGCAAAGAAUUGGAUGGUCCCGGAAAAGGCGCAACGUGGAGUCCUCAGCACGAGAAGCAAGAUGAUAAUACGCCAGGAAAAGACGCUCCUCCGUUUGAGUUUCGGGCGCUGGAGGUAGCUUUGGAAGCUAUUUGCAGCUUUUUAGAUGCACGCACCACUGAGUUGGAGACAAAUGCAUAUCCAGCUCUGGAUGAGCUUACCAAAAAGAUUAGUAGUCGUAAUUUGGACCGCGUACGUAAGUUGAAGAGUAGCAUGACAAGGCUUAAUGCCCGAGUUCAGAAGGUGAGAGAUGAAUUAGAACAACUUCUAGAUGACGAUGAUGACAUGGCCGACCUUUUUCUGACUCGGAAAAGAGGAGAUGGAUCUUCAUCUCCGACUGGAAGUUCUGAUGCACCUACAUCUCCAACAAUCGCAUCCCGUGCUUCAUGGGUCAGCAAGGGCACUGGAGCCAUCAGUCUUAACCAUGGAACUGCUACAGCUACAGAUUCCGAUGACGUGGAAGAGUUAGAGAUGCUUCUUGAGGCUUAUUUUAUGCAGAUUGACAGCACUUUGAACAAGCUAACUACACUUCGAGAAUACAUUGAUGAUACAGAGGAUUACAUCAACAUACAGAUGACUGUCCGCAGAAAGAACAAAUUUAGGGCAGCUGUCUUAUGAUCGUAUAUUUGCGCUGUUCUGAUGCCUUCACUGUUUCCGCUUUUUCCAAACAGCUUGACAACCAUAGAAAUCAGCUUAUCCAGUUGGAGUUGAUACUCAGCUCGGCUACUGUAGUGGUGGCUCUUUUCUCCCUUGUUGCUGGUAUAUUUGGUAUGAAUAUUCCCUAUGAGUGGAAUGAAAAUCAUGAAGAGGCCUUCACAUGGGUGGUCGUGACUACGACAAUUGCCUGCUUGGUGGUGUUCAUCGCCGUCUUAGGCUACGCACGUUACAAGCACCUCAUUGGAACUUAAGUUUCGUCCCAGAGCAGGCUACACGAAUGCUCUUGUACCACCACUCUUUAUUUACAACCCACUAUGAAUCUCUUGUGGCUACUUGCUUCAAAGGAAGUAUAUUGUUUCAAUUUCUGAGAUCCAUCGAUUUUAUCAGCAGAAUAUAGUUCUCGUGAAGCUGGCUAAAUGGUGUAACCUCGUACAAUUGUAUCACUCUGCGACCUUGCGAAGAGUAAAAAGAGAUGAUAAUUUUGCAAUAAAGUCCACCGCACUUGAGCCA